This 450-nucleotide ribosomal RNA is filed under the name uncultured bacterium. RNAcentral describes it as "partial 16S ribosomal RNA". It matches the Rfam family "Bacterial small subunit ribosomal RNA", at positions 354 to 796 of the family's 1533-position model. The record is from RNAcentral.
GUGGGGAAUAUUCCGCAAUGGACGAAAGUCUGACGGAGCAACGCCGCGUGAGUGAUGAAGGUUUUCGGACUGUAAAGCUCUGUUGUUUAGGACGAAAGUGCCUGUUGCAAACAGUUACAGGUAUUGACGGUACCAAACGAGGAAGCCACGGCUAACUACGUGCCAGCAGCCGCGGUAAUACGUAGGUGGCAAGCGUUGUCCGGAAUUAUUGGGCGUAAAGAGCAUGUAGGCGGGAAUCUAAGUCUGUUGUGAAAAUGCGGGGCUCAACCCCGUAUUGCGAUGGAAACUGGGUUUCUUGAGUGCAGGAGAGGAAAGGGGAAUUCCCAGUGUAGCGGUGAAAUGCGUAGAUAUUGGGAGGAACACCAGUGGCGAAGGCGCCUUUCUGGACUGUGUCUGACGCUGAGAUGCGAAAGCCAGGGUAGCGAACGGGAUUAGAAACCCUGGUAGUCC